RNAcentral lists this ribosomal RNA (506 nucleotides) under uncultured bacterium. RNAcentral describes it as "partial 16S ribosomal RNA". It matches the Rfam family "Bacterial small subunit ribosomal RNA", at positions 28 to 523 of the family's 1533-position model. The record is from RNAcentral.
GAUGAACGCUAGCUACAGGCUUAACACAUGCAUGUCGAGGGGUAACGAGAGGAAAGCUUGCUUUCCUUGUUGACGACCGGCGCACGGGUGAGUAACGCGUAUCCAACCUGCCCCCAACUAGGGAAUAACCUUGCGAAAGUGAGACUAAUACCCUAUAAUUUCCUCAGAUGUCAUCUGACGAGGAAUAAAGAUUUAUCGGUUGUGGAUGGGGAUGCGUCUGAUUAGCUUGUUGGCGGGGUAACGGCCCACCAAGGCAACGAUCAGUAGGGGUUCUGGGAGGAAGGUCCCCCACAUUGGAACUGAGACACGGUCCAAACUCCUACGGGAGGCAGCAGUGAGGAAUAUUGGUCAAUGGGCGGAAGCCUGAACCAGCCAAGUAGCGUGCAGGAUGACGGCCCUAUGGGUUGUAAACUGCUUUUAUACAGGAAUAAAGUUAGCCACGUGUGGUUAUUUGUAGGUACUGUAUGAAUAAGGACCGGCUAAUUCCGUGCCAGCAGCCGCCGUAA